UUUGGACGCAUGUGAACAGUGCAGUCCGUGAUGAUGAAGAUGAUGAUGAUGCUGGCUGCAGCUCUGCAGACUAUCGCGGCUGCGGAAUGAGCCGCGAGGAGCUGUCCAAGGUGCUGGAGAGCCGCGGUGUUUUAACCACCGCUCCCUCGCUGGUAAAGUCGAGACUAAACGCGUGAACUGACGUGGAUGCCGAGCAGCGCAACACGGCCCGAGUUAAUAAAUGGGAGCGCACAUCCUCCGAGUGUUUGAGAGAUCAUGGAGAGAUUUUUCCUGCUCGUCCUCAGCGGCUGCCUCGGUGUCUCUCGAGUCACGGCGGAUAGCCUGUCGCCUCCCAUCAAUGUGACCAUCAGGGAAGUGAAAGCAAACUCUGCUGUGGUGUCAUGGGACAUCCCCGAGGGAGACCCCGUCAUUGGCUUUGCCAUCACACAGCAGAAGAAAGACGUGCGCAUGCUGCGGUUAAUCCAGGAAGUCAACACCACCACACGCUCCUGUGCAUUAUGGGACUUGGAAGAGGAGACAGAUUACAUUGUGCAUGUCCAGUCCAUCAGCAUGUUCGGGACGAGCCCGCUGAGCGAACCACUGCGCUUCCGAACCCCAAAGGAGGCCGAGACCCAGGGCACUAAGAACGAAGUGACCAUGGAGGAGGUGGGUCAGGCGACCCAGCUGAGGGCUGGAGAGCUCAUUAUCAUUGUGGUAGUACUCAUCAUGUGGGCAGGUGUGAUUGCCCUUUUCUGUCGCCAGUAUGACAUAAUCAAAGACAACGAGCCCAACAACAACAAGGACAAAGCCAAAAACUCCUCGGAGUGCAGCACUCCUGAACACCCGACGGGGGGGCUGCUGCGCAGUAAGGUAUAACCCACCCCUCUGCUCCUUGUCCUCCUCCUCCUCUCCCCGGGUGCCUCCCUUCUCAGCGACGCUGGCCAGUUCCCCAAAAACAACAACAACAACAACAGGUUGCCAUCUGUUAACAUCAUUGAGGUGUGACUGCCAAUAGCUCUUCUCUUUGCUCAAAAGACUUCAUGCAGACAACGAGCCCCUAUUGAGUCUUUCUGUUGUCAGAAUGAUGCUGGGACCGAGGGACUCUGUUCUUCUUCAACACCGCUUCUGGUGAGGAGGUGAAGCUGCAGGGACUCCAGAGGAGGUGGAGGAAAGAGGCUGAGCUAAGCCUCGCUUUCUAUGAGAGCAGAGAGACUGCAGGAAGAGCUCAGCUCUGAGUCUGUGCUCGCUGAUAGAACAUGGGCCCCUGAUCGUCAGGGUUAUGGGGAGCCUGCAGAAGAACCAACCCAAGGGACCAAAGCUGAUCCAAAAAAGAGCCAGGAUCCAUUACCAGAUAAAUGAGUAUUUAACUUUCCUGGGUGGUACUAUGAGCUUCUUUAACCCCUUAUUUCCUUCAUGGGAUUAACUACUACUUUUGAUGUUUUGGUAUCAGUUUGGGCUUUUUUAGUAAACCAACAUGCAGAGACUCUUUGCUGCGGUACGUUUGUUUUCCCCCCUCAGGGAAUCCAGACUCAACCUGGGUUUAAAAAAAAAGACCCAUUUCCAGUCCAGCCUGCCGGCUUUAGAGGGAUCGGUCACCUAAAUCACUCGAAGUCAUUAACUUAUAUUUACAGCAUAGUUGGUUUAGGACUAGCCUGUGAUUCUCCUCAUCUUUUUUUAUUAUAGACUUCAGAAACGUAACAUUCCUCUCCCUGAACGAGCCCUUUAUUACCUACUGGUGUCUUUCUUUCUGGGUGUGAUGGAUUGUACAUCGUUCUCAUGAGGAGCAGAAGCCCCCCCCCCUCCUUAUGGAGUUCAUUCAUCUAAUUAAUUAACUACACAUGGGGCUGGACUCUACGGACGUCUGAGGAGAGAUUCCUUCAAUCAGCAAUAACAGUCUCUCAGUAGAAGCUAAAGAAGUCGGUUUCUCUGGAAAAAGGACUGUCAGCGAGUAAAAGAUGAACAAACUGGACGUUCGGUUUGCUGGAGUAAAGCUUGCGGAUCAUUUUUCAGUGAUCCCCUUAAAAAAAAAAGCCUUUUUCAGCGCUGUUAAAAAAAUAUAUUUCUCUUGGCAAGCAUGAAAAACUAUUUUUUAACAGGCCCAAAGGUGGGAACUGUGAGUUUUCUUUACGGCAUUCUGAACAGAUGCCGAGCCAGAAGGGCUUCUUUCAAGACUUUUUCAAUUAUUAAAAUAACCAUAUGUUGGAAUUCCAUGUUAAUGAGGAUAAGUAUCGUGAUAGGUGUAUACAUGAUUUAUCUGAGGGCUGAUUUAAACUCAGUAGUACUGCCUUAACAAUAAUUGUAUUCCAUGACUAAAAUGUAUGGCUCUGUAUCUCAUUUCUGUGGCAUUAUAUUUACCUUUCAUUCAAUAUUUAAAUGUUUGUGGCGACUAAAAGGAGUCUGUGGAAUAGAGGAAAAGGCAAGUAUCAGAAAUGUAAAUACACUUUAAUUAUAUUAUUUAUCAUGUAAAGCUUCUCUAGAGAUAAUUUGUGGGAUAAGGCUAUUGGGGAAAUUAUCUCCAAAUGUAGGAAAACUAGGAUAUAAAUGUCGUUUUAUGAAAUGCUUUUUAUUUUAAAUGCAUUUUUAUGACUUUGUUCCCUAAUUUAUUGACAGGCUUUUAUGACCAGCUCUUACAUCUUUACCAGAGCUCUGAAUAAAAGUACAAAAAGUUUGAAACCGUGCCCCUCUAGUGACCAGAGACUGAUUUUGAAGUCUGCACUGCAAAAAAUUUAAAUCUCAAGUGAUAUUUUUAUUAAAAUAAGUGCAUUUUUUCUUGAAUUGAGGUAAGUGAGACACC
RNA transcript from Cyprinodon variegatus (sheepshead minnow), 2773 nucleotides. It is a transcript of the gene named fibronectin type III domain containing 5, with no coding region annotated. The record is from RefSeq and is a predicted model, not a curated record. The transcript has 6 exons. Lineage: Eukaryota; Metazoa; Chordata; Actinopteri; Cyprinodontiformes; Cyprinodontidae.